Molecule: ribosomal RNA, 1631 nt
Filed under: Pseudomonas chlororaphis
Lineage: Bacteria; Pseudomonadati; Pseudomonadota; Gammaproteobacteria; Pseudomonadales; Pseudomonadaceae
Description: partial 23S ribosomal RNA
Rfam family: Bacterial large subunit ribosomal RNA
Source: RNAcentral
CCCACGCCGAAAGACCAAGGUUUCCUGCGCAACGUUAAUCGACGCAGGGUUAGUCGGUCCCUAAGGCGAGGCUGAAAAGCGUAGUCGAUGGAAAACAGGUUAAUAUUCCUGUACUUCUAGUUAUUGCGAUGGAGGGACGGAGAAGGCUAGGCCAGCUUGGCGUUGGUUGUCCAAGUUUAAGGUGGUAGGCUGGAAUCUUAGGUAAAUCCGGGGUUCUAAGGCCGAGAGCUGAUGACGAGUUACCUUUUAGGUGACGAAGUGGUUGAUGCCAUGCUUCCAAGAAAAGCUUCUAAGCUUCAGAUAACUAGGAACCGUACCCCAAACCGACACAGGUGGUUGGGUAGAGAAUACCAAGGCGCUUGAGAGAACUCGGGUGAAGGAACUAGGCAAAAUGGCACCGUAACUUCGGGAGAAGGUGCGCCGGUGAGGGUGAAGGACUUGCUCCGUAAGCCCAUGCCGGUCGAAGAUACCAGGCCGCUGCGACUGUUUAUUAAAAACACAGCACUCUGCAAACACGAAAGUGGACGUAUAGGGUGUGACGCCUGCCCGGUGCCGGAAGGUUAAUUGAUGGGGUUAGCUAACGCGAAGCUCUUGAUCGAAGCCCCGGUAAACGGCGGCCGUAACUAUAACGGUCCUAAGGUAGCGAAAUUCCUUGUCGGGUAAGUUCCGACCUGCACGAAUGGCGUAACGAUGGCGGCGCUGUCUCCACCCGAGACUCAGUGAAAUUGAAAUCGCUGUGAAGAUGCAGUGUAUCCGCGGCUAGACGGAAAGACCCCGUGAACCUUUACUAUAGCUUUGCACUGGACUUUGAAUUUGCUUGUGUAGGAUAGGUGGGAGGCUUUGAAGCGUGGACGCCAGUUCGCGUGGAGCCAUCCUUGAAAUACCACCCUGGCAACUUUGAGGUUCUAACUCAGGUCCGUUAUCCGGAUCGAGGACAGUGUAUGGUGGGUAGUUUGACUGGGGCGGUCUCCUCCUAAAGAGUAACGGAGGAGUACGAAGGUGCGCUCAGACCGGUCGGAAAUCGGUCGUAGAGUAUAAAGGCAAAAGCGCGCUUGACUGCGAGACAGACACGUCGAGCAGGUACGAAAGUAGGUCUUAGUGAUCCGGUGGUUCUGUAUGGAAGGGCCAUCGCUCAACGGAUAAAAGGUACUCCGGGGAUAACAGGCUGAUACCGCCCAAGAGUUCAUAUCGACGGCGGUGUUUGGCACCUCGAUGUCGGCUCAUCACAUCCUGGGGCUGAAGCCGGUCCCAAGGGUAUGGCUGUUCGCCAUUUAAAGUGGUACGCGAGCUGGGUUUAGAACGUCGUGAGACAGUUCGGUCCCUAUCUGCCGUGGACGUUUGAGAUUUGAGAGGGGCUGCUCCUAGUACGAGAGGACCGGAGUGGACGAACCUCUGGUGUUCCGGUUGUCACGCCAGUGGCAUUGCCGGGUAGCUAUGUUCGGAAAAGAUAACCGCUGAAAGCAUCUAAGCGGGAAACUUGCCUCAAGAUGAGAUCUCACUGGAACCUUGAGUUCCCUGAAGGGCCGUCGAAGACUACGACGUUGAUAGGUUGGGUGUGUAAGCGCUGUGAGGCGUUGAGCUAACCAAUACUAAUUGCCCGUGAGGCUUGACCAUAUAACACCCAAGCAAUU